CAGAAGAUGGGGAACUGCCUCAAAUCCCCCACUCAAAUGACAUCUCCUGCUUCACGAGUCUCAGUCCGACCGGGCUAGCUUUGGCGAGGGGACAGAGCCGAAUCAGGAGCCGCCGCUGCCAUAUCAGGAACAAGUGCCAGUUCCAGUCUAUCAUCCAACACCUAGUCAGACUCGCCUAGCAACCCAGCUGACUGAAGAGGAACAAAUUAGGAUAGCUCAAAGAAUAGGCCUUAUCCAGCAUCUGCCUAAGGGAGUUUAUGACCCUGGAAGAGAUGGAUCAGAGAAGAAGAUCCGGGAGUGUGUGAUCUGUAUGAUGGACUUUGUUUAUGGGGACCCAAUUCGAUUUCUGCCGUGCAUGCACAUCUAUCACCUGGACUGUAUAGAUGACUGGUUGAUGAGAUCCUUCACGUGCCCCUCCUGCAUGGAGCCAGUUGAUGCAGCACUGCUUUCAUCCUAUGAGACUAAUUGAGCCAGGGUCUCUCGUCUGACUUCAAGUGAACCAUCAUUUUUGGGUGGUUUUGAUCUUUUGUCGUUGAGCCCAAAGAGCCAGGGAUUAGGAAUUAAGAUCAUGCACAAAAGUUCCCUAAAAAUUCCUGGAUGGCUGCAGAUGUUGGGGGAAAGUAUGUGAUAUUUUAGAAACUUAGUGGGAAAAGUAGGAUGGUAUUUUUAUGUAAAGCCUUGACCCAGUGUUUAAAAAUAUAAUUGUAUUUAGAUCUUGUUAUUGCUCCAGUACAUAGGAAUUGUGUAAAGUGUUACAGCCGCUGUAUAUGUUUAAAUUGUGUGUGUUGAAGAUUAGGAAAAGAUAGUGGUUAUUUUUCCUAAAUGAAAUAACUUUUUUCUUCCCUUCACCCAAAUUCUUUUCUGAAGUUGCUGGCAUUUGGGUCAAGGUUUUAUUAAAAGAUACAUUUUAUAACACUGGCACAAAAAAAGUAGUUUUAAGCUUGUUUGCACAGUUCUUUUUUUCCAUUGGAAAUGGAAUUCAUUGCCUUAGGUCUUUUUAAAUGGUGUAUUAUUAUUGUUGGGGCUGGCUCUAUGCUUGAAAACCAGUUUAUUUAUAACCUGUAUAAGUGCUAUAUUCUGUUUGCAGUUAGGAAAUGCAAAAUUCAAAGUGAUCUCCUAGCUUGUAAGCAAACUGAGAUGCACUAUCCCUUUUCUAUAAAAAAUGAGUUAAUGUGUCAAGAAAUAAAUUCUAGUAAAUGGAGUUUAAA
Nycticebus coucang (slow loris) is the source of this 1208-nucleotide RNA transcript. It is a transcript of the gene named RING finger protein 11-like, with no coding region annotated. Lineage: Eukaryota; Metazoa; Chordata; Mammalia; Primates; Lorisidae. The record is from RefSeq and is a predicted model, not a curated record. The transcript is spliced from 2 exons.